This 63-nucleotide ribosomal RNA is filed under the name Escherichia coli. RNAcentral also lists the same sequence under 12 other names. Lineage: Bacteria; Pseudomonadati; Pseudomonadota; Gammaproteobacteria; Enterobacterales; Enterobacteriaceae. The record is from RNAcentral.
CCUGGCGGCCGUAGCGCGGUGGUCCCACCUGACCCCAUGCCGAACUCAGAAGUGAAACGCCGU